Molecule: ribosomal RNA, 259 nt
Filed under: uncultured bacterium
Lineage: Bacteria
Description: partial 16S ribosomal RNA
Rfam family: Bacterial small subunit ribosomal RNA
Source: RNAcentral
GACGAAGGGCGCGGGUGCUAUUCGUUUUGAUUGGGUGUAAAGGGUAGGUAGGCGGUUUCUGUAUUUUUCUUGGACAAACGUGCGGAGAGUUCCUACGCGAAGUCCUUUUUUUAAAAAGAAUCUUGUGUUGGGGAGAGGUUUAGGCAAAUUCGCUUUAGUAGGGGUAGAAUCCAUCAAUAUGCGAAUGAACGUCAGCUGGCGCAGGCGCUUUUCCAGUCCCAACAGACGCUGAGCUACGGAAGCUUAGGGAGCAAACGGG